UCGUAACAAGGUUUCCGUAGGUGAACCUGCGGAAGGAUCAUUAAAGAGUUAGGGUCUUCUCAGGCCCGACCUCCCAACCCUUUGUCUAUUGAACCCUUGUUGCUUCGGCGGGCCCGUCGUUAUACGGCCGCCGGAGGACCGACUCCAGGUCCUCUGGCCCGCGCCCGCCGGUAGCCAAAAUCACCAAACUCUUGAAUAAUCGUGUCUAUGAUGUCUGAGUACUUUUAUUAAAAUUAAGCAAAACUUUCAACAACGGAUCUCUUGGUUCUGGCAUCGAUGAAGAACGCAGCGAAAUGCGAUAAGUAAUGCGAAUUGCAGAAUUCCAGUGAGUCAUCGAAUCUUUGAACGCACAUUGCGCCCUUUGGUAUUCCGAAGGGCAUGCCUGUUCGAGCGUCAUUAUCACCCCUCAAGCCCUCCGGCUUGGUGUUGGACGGUCUGGUCGAGCUGCUCGACCCCUCCCAAAGACAAUGACGGCGGCCUGGUUGGACCCCCGGUACAUGGAGCUUCUUGAUUGAGCACGUAUCGGUUUCAAGGCGUCCCCGGGACCCGGUCUCACUCUCUCCCCUCGCGGGAGGGAACCCCCCUUUUUUCUAAGGUUGACCUCGGAUCAGGUAGGAAUACCCGCUGAACUUAAGCAUAUC
This 641-nucleotide unclassified non-coding RNA is filed under the name Exophiala phaeomuriformis. RNAcentral's name for it is "sequence contains 18S rRNA gene, ITS1, 5.8S rRNA gene, ITS2, 28S rRNA gene". The stretch from base 242 to 396 matches the Rfam family "5.8S ribosomal RNA". Lineage: Eukaryota; Fungi; Ascomycota; Eurotiomycetes; Chaetothyriales; Herpotrichiellaceae. The record is from RNAcentral.